GACGAACGCUGGCGGCGUGCUUAAUACAUGCAAGUCGAGCGAAGCGCUUUAACGGAAUUCUCCGGAAGGAAGGUAAAGUGACUGAGCGGGCGACGGGUGAAGGUACGCGUAGAGUAACCUGCCCUGGAGUGGGGGACAACAGUUGGAAACGACUGCUAAUACCGCAUAAGCCCACGGCCCGGCAUCGGGUUGAGGGAAAAGGAUUUAUUCGCUUCAGGAUGGACUCGCGUCCAAUUAGCUAGUUGGUGAGGUAACGGCCCACCAAGGCGACGAUUGGUAGCCGGACUGAGAGGUUGAACGGCCACAUUGGGACUGAGACACGGCCCAG
This 328-nucleotide ribosomal RNA is filed under the name uncultured bacterium. Its description in RNAcentral is "bacterial SSU rRNA". It matches the Rfam family "Bacterial small subunit ribosomal RNA", at positions 28 to 334 of the family's 1533-position model. The record is from RNAcentral.